CCUACGGUGGGCAGCAGUGGGGAAUAUUGGGCAAUGGGCGCAAGCCUGACCCAGCAACGCCGCGUGAAGGAAGAAGGCUUUCGGGUUGUAAACUUCUUUUGUCAGGGACGCAGCAAGUGACGGUACCUGACGACUAAGCCACGGCUAACUACGUGCCAGCAGCCGCGGUAAUACGUAGGUGGCAAGCGUUAUCCGGAUUUACUGGGUGUAAAGGGCGUGUAGGCGGGGAAGCAAGUCAGAUGGGAAAACCACGGGCUCAACCUGUGGCUUGCAUUUGAAACUGUUUUUCUUGAGUGCUGGAGAGGCAAUCGGAAUUCCGUGUGUAGCGGUGAAAUGCGUAGAUAUACGGAGGAACACCAGUGGCGAAGGCGGAUUGCUGGACAGUAACUGACGCUGAGGCGCGAAAGCGUGGGGAGCAAACAGGAUUAGAUACCCCAGUAGUC
This 443-nucleotide ribosomal RNA is filed under the name uncultured bacterium. Its description in RNAcentral is "partial 16S ribosomal RNA". It matches the Rfam family "Bacterial small subunit ribosomal RNA", at positions 338 to 795 of the family's 1533-position model. The record is from RNAcentral.